RNAcentral lists this long non-coding RNA (1101 nucleotides) under Canis lupus familiaris (dog). RNAcentral's name for it is "lncRNA (ENSCAFG00040003571.1)". The record is from RNAcentral. Lineage: Eukaryota; Metazoa; Chordata; Mammalia; Carnivora; Canidae.
CGUGGACCGGCGAGCGGUGCGGCGUCGGCCAGGCGGGGGCCGUCACCUGUCUUCUCUCCUCCCCUCUCCAGAGGCGGCGAACCGGGAGCUAGAGAGCAAGUGCCGCGCGCUCGAGUCGCAGCUGGCCGCGCGGACGGCCGCCAACGCCGAGCUGCGGCGGGAGGUGGCGCAGCGCGAGGCGCUGGUGUCGGCGCUUCGCUGCAGCCUGCGCGCGGAGGAGCGCCGCUUCCUGGAGGAGCUGCGGCGCCGCAGCCACCGCGCCACCGUGCUGGGCACCGAGCUGCAGAAGCACACCGAGGCGGCCGCCUACCUCUCCUGCCAGCUGCACGCGGCGCGCCAGAGACUGCAGGCGCCGCGCCCGGGCCCCGCCGCCGCCGCGGCCCCCGAGCCCCGGCCCCGCCGCCGCGCACAGCGGGCCCGCCGCCCGCCCGCCGCCGAGGCCGCCGCCAAGGGCCCGGGCCGGGACUGGGCCGCCUGGGACCGCGCGGCCCGCGCCCUGGACGACGCCGAUCCCAUGCCCGACCCCGCGCUCUUCCUCCACGCCCGGAGGCCCCCGCGGCCCAGCGGCCGCAGCCCGCGCCAGCCACCGCCCCGGGAGCCCCCCGACCAGGCCGGCCCGCCCAGCCCGCCCAGCGCUCCCGGGGAGCCGGAGUAGGCGCGCGGCCGCGGGGGGGGGGGGCGGGGGGCGCGAAGGCCGGCCGGGCGUCCCGCCAGGAGCGCUGCUGGGGGGCCCGAGCGGAGGCGGCCGCAGCCCCCCCAGCCCUCCCGCGCGCCCCAGCCGGGCCGCGUCGCCUCCCCCGAGGGAGCUCUGCCGCGGGGCCCGGAGAGAGCGCGGUACGGAGGAGAGGAGAGGAGAGGAGGACUCGCGCGGUACCGACGCUCCUCUCGUCCCCGCCCCGCUGCAGGGUCGCGCCCUGUCCCGGGAAAGCUGACAAUCGUGGGACGCGAGGGGGAAGGCUGGGCGGGCCUACGAGAGGAACGCAGCGGCACUCAGCACCCCUGGGCCUUCCAGCUCCCCUCCCGCCCGCCCGCCCCGCACGGCCGCCCUUCCUGCCGAGCCUUCCUGUAAGGAGAGGCUCGGGCUGGGGGGCUAGCGGCUAG